CUUAGGACGAACGCUGGCGGCGUGCCUAACACAUGCAAGUCGAGCGGAGACAUACGACUGCGAUGAAGUUUCGGAUGGAAUCAAAGAUGUAUGUUUAGCGGCGGACGGGUGAGUAACGCGUGAGCAACCUGUCCUUCACAGGGGGAUAACACAGCGAAAGUUGUACUAAUACCGCAUAAGACCACGUCGGGACAUCCCGAAGGGGUCAAAGGAGCAAUCCGGUGAAGGGUGGGCUCGCGUCCGAUUAGAUAGUUGGUGAGGUAACGGCCCACCAAGUCGACGAUCGGUAGCCGACCUGAGAGGGUGAUCGGCCACAUUGGGACUGAGACACGGCCCAAACUCCUACGGGAGGCAGCAGUGGGGAAUAUUGGGCAAUGGGGGGAACCCUGACCCAGCAACGCCGCGUGAGGGAAGAAGGUUUUCGGAUCGUAAACCUCUGUCCUUGGUGAAGAGGAAGAGACGGUAGCCAAGGAGGAAGCCCCGGCUAACUACGUGCCAGCAGCAGC
RNAcentral lists this ribosomal RNA (506 nucleotides) under uncultured bacterium. RNAcentral's name for it is "bacterial SSU rRNA". It matches the Rfam family "Bacterial small subunit ribosomal RNA", at positions 23 to 518 of the family's 1533-position model. The record is from RNAcentral.